This 426-nucleotide long non-coding RNA is filed under the name Daucus carota (carrot). RNAcentral describes it as "long non-coding RNA (DCAR_LNC006965)". The record is from RNAcentral. Lineage: Eukaryota; Viridiplantae; Streptophyta; Magnoliopsida; Apiales; Apiaceae.
AACAGAAGCAUUCCGUACGUUGCUAGAGAUGGGUGGAAAACCUCCAAGAAGCUGUCCCCACGAAACAACCACGGAAUUGGUAAUAGAAGUUAGCAACAUAAUCUCACGGCAAAUGUAAAAAUAAGUACAACAUGAACAAUUGCAUUGUCCAAGUUGUAACAUCUAAAAUACUACUAACAUAAAGACACUAAAAUGAAGACACCAUUAUGCUAGAGCCAGAAGCGCUGGUGGACAGUAUGGAAAUGCUGGAGUCACUUGGAACAUCAAUUCCACUUCCACACACAUGUAGUUGAAAAUUUGAGUUUGAAGAAUUGUCAUUAAUAGUGUAAAAGAUUCAACGAUUAGCUCUUUCUUUCUGAUUCUUGAGAAUGGCCAUCAACCCUCCUAAGCCAGUUGAUAUAUGUGUAAACACUUGGCCUUUGAACC